This 243-nucleotide unclassified non-coding RNA is filed under the name fungal sp. RNAcentral describes it as "partial internal transcribed spacer region". The stretch from base 1 to 46 matches the Rfam family "Eukaryotic small subunit ribosomal RNA", at positions 1786 to 1831 of the family's 1831-position model. Lineage: Eukaryota; Fungi. The record is from RNAcentral.
AAGUCGUAACAAGGUUUCCGUAGGUGAACCUGCGGAAGGAUCAUUACUGCUUGCUCAUGGCCGGCUUGGUGGGGAAACCCGCCAGACGGUACGGCAACACACCCUUGACUAUCAUACCCAUUGUUACUUCCCUUGGUGGGGUAACCUGCCGCUGGGGACACCGUAAAUCCUCUUGUAUAAAGCAUAAACUUCUGAAACAAACCUAAAAUAUUACAACUUUCAAUAAUGGAUCUCUUGGUUCUG